Small nucleolar RNA from Hemicordylus capensis (graceful crag lizard), 85 nucleotides. RefSeq annotates it as small nucleolar RNA SNORD70. The record is from RefSeq and is a predicted model, not a curated record. Lineage: Eukaryota; Metazoa; Chordata; Lepidosauria; Squamata; Cordylidae. The transcript has a single exon.
CAAUGUUGUCAAUGAUGGAAACUUGUUGACCUGAACAUAAUGAUUUAUUUCAACACCUCGUCACUACCACUGAGACAACAUACUG